GACGACGCCACCUCCUGCUUCCACCUCCUGCUGCCUUCCCGUCCUCACUCGAGCGCCACGGAGACCCCCGCAACCCCUGGUCACUCUCCCCCUCUCUCCCGUGCCUAUCCCUCAUCUGUCCCCCUUCCCCGAGCACCACCGAGCGUUGCCGUCGCCGCCGCCCGCUGUUGCCGUGGCCACUGCCACUGUCUCGCCUCGCCGACGUGCCCCUGAGCUCCGACACGACCUCGUUAUCCUCCCCGCCGAGUGUAGCAACGCCGGACGCCCUGAAGCGACGUCCACACCAUCUUCUUCAACCUCGGCUCGCCGAGAUCGACCCCGCCGCUCCGUCCACUCCAGAGCUUCCCCGGGCCGGCCGAGCUGCUCAUCUGGACCGAUGUGAGCACCUGACCCUUCCCCCUUGCUCACCCCUCCCUUCUCGUUCGCUAGCUGCCGUCCCCGCGAACCCAAGCUCCGGCCGCCACCAUGGCCGGUGAGCUCCGUGCUUCUGAGCCCCUCCACUCCAACCAGUUGCUCCUGCGUGAUUCUGCUGCUCUUUACGUGCUGCCUAGAGCCUCCGUUCGCUCUCCCUCGAGCUGCAGCACGCGCCCGCGCAUAGCCGUGCUCCGGUCACCGCUGUUGUCAUCGCCGUCACCGCUGCAGUCUGACCCGGCACCGCCCACGGCCACCAAUCGACGCGCCUCCUCGCGCAGCAGCCGUAGAGACCAACCCCACCUCCUCUCGUCGCCGGAAUCGCCAGAACGAGUGCCGCCGCCGCAUCUGUGUGUCACCGGCGGUUAGCCGCCGACGUGGCCACUUAAUUAGUGCCUAAACACCCAGCUAAUCACUCCCUAGAGCCACUGCCAAGCGGGCCCCCGUGCCUAAAUUAAUUAGUUUAACUUCUCUGUUAAAUUAGUACUAAUCUGAGAGGGCCCCGUCUGUCACCUUUGACUUGGCCACGUCAGCAUUGACCGGGUCCCACGUGUCAGCCUCUGUAGCUAUCUCUGUGUCACUGACCAGUGGGCCCUACUGGUCAGGUUUGACCUGGACCAGCACGUUGACCUGCUGACAUCACUGAUACGUCAUGCUGACGCAGUAAAUAUUUUCUGGGAUUUAUAUAAAUCAGAAAUGAUUUAUUUAUUUCAGAAAAUAUCCAAAACUUCAAAAAUCCAUAGAAAUUAAUCUAUAACUCCAAAUGAAAUAAUUUAUAUAUGAAAAAUUAUCAGAAAAAUCCAAUCUAUUCAUCUGUACCAUUUUCAUGCAUGUUUGAGCAACUUAUGCCUGCUGAUCAGGUCAAAUCAAUUAAUGGCAUUUGAAUAAUCACAUAUGGAGUUUGAAUUUGAAUCUUGUAUUCAAACCAACUUCAUUUAAAUCGUUGUUAGUUGCAUUAGCUCAAAUCACAACAUAUUGCUAUGUCAUGAUCAUGCAUCAUAUUGUUGCAUUGCAUUGAUUGUGUUUCCUCUCUGUUGCCGGUAAUUGUUCCCCCUCGGUAGACGUGGUUCCGAUGAUGAGAUCGAUGACACCGAUGAAGAGCUAUACUAUCUUCAGAAGUGCCAGGCAAGUAAAACCCCCUUGUUCAUUCUGAUACAAUCCCACUCUCUCGAUUCUGCUCUCUUUUACUGCAUUAGGACAACAACGAUUCAACUAUUACAUGCUGCGGUAGUUGAACCCCUUUCCUCUGCAUGACCUGUCAUUGCCACAGUAAAUAGAUGAAACCCACUAGCAUGAGUAGGAGUUGUUUGAUCCCUGAUGUGCCUACUCAUUCAUGCUUGUUUGUCAUGCCUGCUAUUGCUUAGAGUUGUGUCAGGUCCGGUUCAUCGGGGAUGAAUUGGAGGUGUGUGAACAUGUCCUACUAUUGAGAGCUAAGUGUGUGAACACGACUUGGUAAAGGUAUCGGGUGAGAGGCCAUGUAGGAGUACAUGGUGGGUUGUCUCAUUGAAGCCGUCCUCAGGAACUGAGUUCUGUGUUUGUGAUCCAUGAACAGUUACUACCACACAUUGGGUUCCGAUAACUCGACCCCUCUCGACUUAUUAAUCAACUUGAUCUCUGUCCAGGAGUUGCAACUAGUUUCUGGUGUUUGUAGGUAGUGUUAGUAGUCUACCAAGUGGCACCUGGUACAGGUGGGCUUGGGACAGACUAGGCACCGUGGCCGGGUAUGCCAAGCGCCGCCCGUUUGGUGGGCUUGGAACCCUGUACACAUCGUUUGGGGCCGUGAGCGACACCCCGGCUGGAUCUCCUUGCGGAUGGAACCCGAAUAGGCGAUAAACCUGGACUAGAGACUUGUGUGGUUUGUCAGAUCGUGGCCGACUCCCUCGCCAGGCUUCCGCUUGAAGGUUGCCGAGAUACACGACGUGUACAUGGUGGUAAGUGGCGAGAGCGUGUGUGAAGAAGUACACCCCUGCAGGGUUAUAAAUGAUCUAUUCGAAUAGCCGUGUCCGCGGUAAAGGACUUAUGGGUUGCCUGUACAGUUCAUAGACAAGUGAAAGUGGAUACUCUAAAAUGCGCAAGGUAAGCGUGAGUACUAUGGAUGGCGUCCUCGUAGGGAGAUGGGAGCGGAUCCAUAGUGGUGUAUUGAUAUGGUGAAUAUGUGGACUCGUGUGCGCACCUCAAAAGAGUUAUUUGCAGUCGUAGUUCAGGAUGGCCACUGAGUCAAAGCUGGCUUGCUGCAGUCAAACUCCACCACCCCCUUUGUUGAUACUGAUGCAUAUGUAGCUAGUUCUGAUGUAAGUCUUGCUGGGUACAUUUGUACUCACGUUUGCCUAUUUUAUGUUUUGUAGAGAGACGUCAGUCUUGCUAGUAGUUCCGUGUGGACUUCGACGUUUAACUUGAUACCUCAGCUACGAUCUUGUGCCCUCGGCAGGAUCUGGUAGAUAGUCAGGCUUCUCAGCCUUUUUCAUUUGUAGAUGUCUAUACUCAGACAUGUUAAGCUUCCGCAUGUGCUUUGACUUGUAUGCUCUGAAUGUUGGGUCAUGAGACCCAUGUUUGUAAUAUCUCGGUCCUCGGAGCCUAAUGAAUAAAUACUUUGAGUCGUAGAGUUUUGUUGUGAUGCCAUGUUGUAUUUACACAUAUCGAGCAUAUUGUGU
This 3062-nucleotide long non-coding RNA is filed under the name Triticum aestivum (bread wheat). RNAcentral describes it as "long non-coding RNA (TAES_LNC019349)". The record is from RNAcentral. Lineage: Eukaryota; Viridiplantae; Streptophyta; Magnoliopsida; Poales; Poaceae.